RNAcentral lists this long non-coding RNA (211 nucleotides) under Trifolium pratense (red clover). RNAcentral describes it as "long non-coding RNA (TPRA_LNC007112)". Lineage: Eukaryota; Viridiplantae; Streptophyta; Magnoliopsida; Fabales; Fabaceae. The record is from RNAcentral.
UGGAGAAUGAAUUUGGUAUAUAGAAUCAGAUUAAUAAUGCAAAGUUAGUGAUCAAAUUAUACUCAUCCCUGACACAUUUUUAUUAUAAUUAACUUUUAUUCCAAUUUUGUAGUUGCUAAAAUUAUAAACAACAAGCUCGUACCUUUUUGUUCAAUUAAGUUUUAAAGAUACAGUUCGACAGUAUAACGCAGUCCUUGAGUUCGACACUCGG